This is a non-coding RNA of Pelobates cultripes (western spadefoot toad), 216 nucleotides long. NCBI's taxonomy places the organism in Eukaryota, Metazoa, Chordata, Amphibia, Anura, Pelobatidae. The record is from the annotation of a GenBank genome assembly.
GUGAAAUCCAGAGCAAGGGAGCUAUUGCCAUCUGCUGGAAGAAUUAUAUAUAAUUUCCAGCAAGAUUAACCACUAUAGCAUGCUGGAAAGCCAGAAGCUCUUUCAUUUGAGCUAUUGUGGCUAUAUAGGGCUUAGCUCAUUGGCUGAGAGCACUGAUGAUCUCAGCCAAUGAUUCAUGCCUGCACUGCAGGGCACAGCUCAGGGGAGAAAUUGGAA